UGUGGGUCUCACCACUACACAUUGAUUUAGUGUUGAAAAGAGAGUGUUGUUUCAUAAAUGUGGUUUGUUGUUGCAAUGUUGUUUAGGUAAGUGUGCACGUUGGUUAUGUAUACCAUGUAUAAUAAUUGUCUUCUAGUAAGACAAUACUACUUUAUGAACUAUGUUGAAUUUGUUUAAGAUUUUUCGGGUUACAUUGAUGUGUUCCUAGAGUCUGGCCUACGGCUAUUUCAGCAUGAGUACCUUUAAUUUGUGUGUUCAAGUUUUGUUUGAAGAGGAGUGUGUU
RNAcentral lists this long non-coding RNA (283 nucleotides) under Trifolium pratense (red clover). RNAcentral's name for it is "long non-coding RNA (TPRA_LNC009882)". The record is from RNAcentral. Lineage: Eukaryota; Viridiplantae; Streptophyta; Magnoliopsida; Fabales; Fabaceae.